UACGUAGGGGGCUAGCGUUGUCCGGAAUCAUUGGGCGUAAAGAGCGCGUAGGCGGCCAGAUAAGUCCGGUGUGAAAGUCACAGGCUCAACCUGUGAAUGCCGCUGGAAACUGUCUGGCUUGAGUCCGGGAGGGGCGAGUGGAAUUCCUGGUGUAGCGGUGAAAUGCGCAGAUAUCAGGAAGAACACCCGUGGCGAAGGCGGUUCUCUGGGACGGUACUGACGCUGAGACGCGAAAGCGUGGGGAGCGAACAGG
This 253-nucleotide ribosomal RNA is filed under the name uncultured bacterium. RNAcentral's name for it is "partial 16S ribosomal RNA". It matches the Rfam family "Bacterial small subunit ribosomal RNA", at positions 524 to 776 of the family's 1533-position model. The record is from RNAcentral.